GUUUUUAUUUCUUUUGCACACACAUGCUCACUUGGGCCGAUUUCAGCCCUGGACCACUCCACAAUAGUGCAAUUCGGUCCAUUGUUGUUUUUUAACGUCAUGUGAUUUUGUUUUUCCAAUUUCCAAGGACUUUGCUAAUUUCAGGAAAAGCUUUGUUUUUCAAACGAGCGUAGUUUCUAAACCGUGCAUCGGAUCGGAGUGAUUCAAAUUUUGUAACUUGUCUACAAUUUCACGUAGGUUAAUAAUUUCC
Molecule: long non-coding RNA, 250 nt
Filed under: Hordeum vulgare
Lineage: Eukaryota; Viridiplantae; Streptophyta; Magnoliopsida; Poales; Poaceae
Description: long non-coding RNA (HVUL_LNC012532)
Source: RNAcentral